ACCCCCGUGAGAAUGCCCUUAAAACUCUUUUGAGACCAAGGAGCAGGUAUCAGGCACACCAAGUGUAGCCCACAACACCUUGCUAAGCCACACCCCCAAGGGAAUUCAGCAGUGAUUAACAUUAAGCCAUAAGUGUAAACUUGACUUAGUUAAAGCCAACCAGGGUCGGUAAAAUUCGUGCCAGCCACCGCGGUUAUACGAAAGACCCAAGCUGACAGAGACCGGCGUAAAGAGUGGUUAGGAAAAUGAUAUACUAAAGCUGAACAUCUUCUUAGCUGUUUAACGCAUUUGAAGAUAAGAAUCACUAUCACGAAAGUAGCUUUAAACACCUGACUCCACGAAAGCUAUGAAACAAACUGGGAUUAGAUACCCCACUAUGCUUAGCCGUAAAAAUUGAUACCCCAAUACAACCACUAUCCGCCAGGGUACUACAAGCAUUAAGCUCAAAACCCAAAGGACCUGGCGGUGCUUUAAAACCCCCUAGAGGAGCCUGUUCUAUAACUGAUAAUCCCCACUUAACCUCACCCCUUCUUGCCAAUUCCGCCUAUAUACCGCCGUCGUCAGCUUACACUGUGAAACCCCAAUAGUGAGCAAAAUUGGUAAAACCCCAAACGUCAGGUCGAGGUGUAGUAAAUGAAGGGGGAAGAAAUAGGCUACAUUCGUUUACUAACGCACUACGAACUAAAUGUUGAAAACACACUUACGAAGGAGGAUUUAGCAGUAAGAAGAAGAUAGAGUAUUCUCCUGAAACCGGCCCUAAAGCACGCACACACCGCCCGUCACUCUCCCCUAGCACACCAUACACACUAAAUAAACAACUAACAAGCUGAAGAGGAGGCAAGUCGUAACAUGGUAAGUGUACCGGAAGGUGCACUUGGAAAAAU
RNAcentral lists this non-coding RNA (884 nucleotides) under Dunckerocampus dactyliophorus (ringed pipefish). RNAcentral's name for it is "partial 12S ribosomal RNA". It matches the Rfam family "Bacterial small subunit ribosomal RNA", at positions 307 to 1533 of the family's 1533-position model. The record is from RNAcentral. Lineage: Eukaryota; Metazoa; Chordata; Actinopteri; Syngnathiformes; Syngnathidae.